RNAcentral lists this long non-coding RNA (225 nucleotides) under Nicotiana benthamiana. Its description in RNAcentral is "long non-coding RNA (NBEN_LNC014193)". Lineage: Eukaryota; Viridiplantae; Streptophyta; Magnoliopsida; Solanales; Solanaceae. The record is from RNAcentral.
AACCUUCCCCCUUUUACAAAACUCACGAUUUUUCUUUGGAUGCAGGCACCCAAGUGAUAAAACCAUCAAACACGAUUACACACUCACACUUUUUAGAUAUACUCCUCAGAAUCACUACCUAUUUGCGAGUGCUACCUUCACACGACAUCCCCGGCAACCAAAACCACACAAUCAACUAUCAGCUAUCAUCUAUCAGCUAAGAGAUUUCAUUACUAAUUGCUUUCU